RNAcentral lists this ribosomal RNA (510 nucleotides) under uncultured bacterium. RNAcentral's name for it is "bacterial SSU rRNA". It matches the Rfam family "Bacterial small subunit ribosomal RNA", at positions 28 to 529 of the family's 1533-position model. The record is from RNAcentral.
GAUGAACGCUAGCGGCAGGCUUAAUACAUGCAAGUCGAGGGGGAUCAGUUGGGUAGCAAUACCUGGCUGUGAGACCGGCAAACGGGUGAGGAACACGUACGCAACUUUCCCAAAACUGGUGAAUAGCCCUCCGAAAGGAGGAUUAAUACACCGUAACAUAACGAAAUGGCAUCAUUUUGUUAUUAUAGCAGCAAUGCGGUUUUGGAUAGGCGUGCGCCUGAUUAGGUAGUUGGCGGGGUAACGGCCCACCAAGCCUACGAUCAGUAACUGGUGUGAGAGCACGACCAGUCACACGGGCACUGAGACACGGGCCCGACUCCUACGGGAGGCAGCAGUAAGGAAUAUUGGUCAAUGGACGAAAGUCUGAACCAGCCAUGCCGCGUGAAGGAUGAAGGUCCUCUGGAUUGUAAACUUCUUUUAUCUGGGACGAAAAAGGGAAUUCUUUCUCACUUGACGGUACCAGAAGAAUAAGCACGGCUAACUCCGUGCCAGCAGCCGCGGUAACACGAG